AUCUACAGCCAUACCACCCUGAAUGUAGCUGAUCUUGUCUGGUCUCGGAAGCUAAGCAAGGUUGGGCCUGCUUUGUACUUGGGUGGGAGAAAAUAUAAUACUGAUGAUC
This 109-nucleotide ribosomal RNA is filed under the name Pongo abelii (Sumatran orangutan). Lineage: Eukaryota; Metazoa; Chordata; Mammalia; Primates; Hominidae. The record is from RNAcentral.